This 441-nucleotide long non-coding RNA is filed under the name Cricetulus griseus (Chinese hamster). RNAcentral describes it as "lncRNA (ENSCGRG00015035978.1)". The record is from RNAcentral. Lineage: Eukaryota; Metazoa; Chordata; Mammalia; Rodentia; Cricetidae.
GCCAAAUCCAUUGUAUAAGAAACUGAAGCUGGAACAUAAACAGGUUAUGUGGGAACUAAGGGUCUUUGAAAAUGAAAACACCCAGGUCUCCGAAGAGUUCAGUGAGCUGAAUAAGGAAAACGUCUUCUAUCGCGGUCUACACAGCCAGCUCCUGAUGGAACAGACUCAGCUGAACAAGAAGGUGGACACGCUGAGACAGGAGAAAAAGAAACUGCAGGAGGAUUGGUUCCUGCUGAAGCAGCACUUGGAGGACUUGAACUUGUUCUGUAAGAACCAAGAUGAAGAGACCAGUGACCUCAAAAUCAAGCAGGGACGUGGUAUGAUUAAGGAGCUCAAGAGAUUGGAGGAAAGACUUGAGGUCCUACUGAAGCAGAAGCAGAAGGUCAGUCAGAAAAUGGAUUUGGCAGAAAAGCUGCAGCAUCACUUUGGUGACUCCCUGAU